This 120-nucleotide ribosomal RNA is filed under the name Macaca fascicularis (crab-eating macaque). The record is from RNAcentral. Lineage: Eukaryota; Metazoa; Chordata; Mammalia; Primates; Cercopithecidae.
GUCUGCAGCCGCCACCACCCUGAACCCGCCCGAUCUCGUCUAAUCUCGGGAGCUAAGCAGGGUCGGGCCUGGUUAGUACUUGGAUGGGAGACCGCCUGGGAAUACCAGGUGCUGUAGGCU